UGGGGAAUAUUGGACAAUGGGGGCAACCCUGAUCCAGCAAUGCCGCGUGUGUGAAGAAGGUUUUCGGAUUGUAAAGCACUUUCGACGGGGACGAUGAUGACGGUACCCGUAGAAGAAGCCCCGGCUAACUUCGUGCCAGCAGCCGCGGUAAUACGAAGGGGGCUAGCGUUGCUCGGAAUGACUGGGCGUAAAGGGCGUGUAGGCGGUUUGUACAGUCAGAUGUGAAAUCCCCGGGCUUAACCUGGGAGCUGCAUUUGAUACGUGCAGACUAGAGUGUGAGAGAGGGUUGUGGAAUUCCCAGUGUAGAGGUGAAAUUCGUAGAUAUUGGGAAGAACACCGGUGGCGAAGGCGGCAACCUGGCUCAUAACUGACGCUGAGGCGCGAAAGCGUGGGGAGCAAACAGGAUUAGAUACCCUGGUA
This 420-nucleotide ribosomal RNA is filed under the name uncultured bacterium. RNAcentral's name for it is "partial 16S ribosomal RNA". It matches the Rfam family "Bacterial small subunit ribosomal RNA", at positions 355 to 792 of the family's 1533-position model. The record is from RNAcentral.